This 253-nucleotide ribosomal RNA is filed under the name uncultured bacterium. Its description in RNAcentral is "partial 16S ribosomal RNA". It matches the Rfam family "Bacterial small subunit ribosomal RNA", at positions 524 to 776 of the family's 1533-position model. The record is from RNAcentral.
UACGGAAGGUCCGGGCGUUAUCCGGAUUUAUUGGGUUUAAAGGGAGCGUAGGCCGCCGAUUAAGCGUGUUGUGAAAUGCCGCAGCUCAACUGUGGCACUGCAGCGCGAACUGGUUGGCUUGAGUGCGCGGAAGGCAGGCGGAAUUUGUGGUGUAGCGGUGAAAUGCUUAGAUAUCACGAAGAACCCCGAUUGCGAAGGCAGCUUGCCGCAGCGUAACUGACGCUGAAGCUCGAAAGUGCGGGUAUCGAACAGG